RNAcentral lists this ribosomal RNA (492 nucleotides) under uncultured bacterium. RNAcentral describes it as "partial 16S ribosomal RNA". It matches the Rfam family "Bacterial small subunit ribosomal RNA", at positions 29 to 507 of the family's 1533-position model. The record is from RNAcentral.
AGUGAACGCUGGCGGUAGGCCUAACACAUGCAAGUCGAACGGCAGCACAGUAAGAGCUUGCUCUUACGGGUGGCGAGUGGCGGACGGGUGAGGAAUACAUCGGAAUCUACUUUUUCGUGGGGGAUAACGUAGGGAAACUUACGCUAAUACCGCAUACGACCUACGGGUGAAAGCAGGGGAUCUUCGGACCUUGCGCGAUUGAAUGAGCCGAUGUCGGAUUAGCUAGUUGGCGGGGUAAAGGCCCACCAAGGCGACGAUCCGUAGCUGGUCUGAGAGGAUGAUCAGCCACACUGGAACUGAGACACGGUCCAGACUCCUACGGGAGGCAGCAGUGGGGAAUAUUGGACAAUGGGCGCAAGCCUGAUCCAGCCAUACCGCGUGGGUGACGAAGGCCUUCGGGUCGUAAAGCCCUUUUGUUGGGAAAGAAAAGCAGCAGGUUAAUACCCCGCUGUUCUGACGGUACCCAAAGAAUAAGCACCGGCUAACUUCGUG